Non-coding RNA from Anaeromyces robustus, 73 nucleotides. Lineage: Eukaryota; Fungi; Neocallimastigomycota; Neocallimastigomycetes; Neocallimastigales; Neocallimastigaceae. The record is from the annotation of a GenBank genome assembly.
GCCCUGUUAGCUCAGUUGGUAGAGCGUGCGGCUUUUAACCGCAAGGUCGGGGGUUCGAGCCCCCCAUAGGGCG